This 426-nucleotide ribosomal RNA is filed under the name uncultured Legionella sp. RNAcentral's name for it is "bacterial SSU rRNA". It matches the Rfam family "Bacterial small subunit ribosomal RNA", at positions 451 to 872 of the family's 1533-position model. Lineage: Bacteria; Pseudomonadati; Pseudomonadota; Gammaproteobacteria; Legionellales; Legionellaceae. The record is from RNAcentral.
GGUUAAGAGCUAAUUAACUGGACGUUACCUACAGAAGAAGCACCGGCUAACUCCGUGCCAGCAGCCGCGGUAAUACGGAGGGUGCGAGCGUUAAUCGGAAUUACUGGGCGUAAAGGGUGCGUAGGUGGUUUGAUAAGUUAGUUGUGAAAUUCCUGGGCUCAACCUAGGCACUGCAACUAAUACUGUUGAACUCGAGUAUGGGAGAGGGCAGUGGAAUUUCCGGUGUAGCGGUGAAAUGCGUAGAGAUCGGAAGGAACACCAGUGGCGAAGGCGGCUGCCUGGCCUAAUACUGACACUGAGGCACGAAAGCGUGGGGAGCAAACAGGAUUAGAUACCCCUGGUAGUCCACGCCGUAAACGAUGUCAACUAGCCGUUGGUUAUAUGAAUAUAAUUAGUGGCGCAGCAAACGCGAUAAGUUGACAUCGU